GUACCACGGAUUUAUGUUCGUUUGUCCGGGUCACUCUGCCUUUUCGUGUUAAUUACGCGCCGCCUGCUUCGUGCUUAUCUCCUCCGCAAAGCGAUUAUUUUCGACGCCCGCCCUCCUGAGCCUCCUGAGUCGGCUGCCAGAGCGAGGGCCCGUCUCCCGCCGCCACUCGCGAUUUAUUUACACCUCGCAGAACUGCCGCGAUUUCCCCCGCAUUCAGGCGCAUUUCUGGCCUCGGAACACCUCCGCGCCCGCAGAUGCACGCUCCGAAGCUCCCACGACCGCCUGCCCCCGGCGCGCACUCUAAAACUCCUCGGCCCUCUUACCCUGCUGCUGGCUCCGCAUCGCCUAUUCGCCGCCGCCCGCAGGACUUUGGGGUGGGACUCUGACUUCUCCCGGCUGUUUGCCCCCUGGUUUGUAGCCCAUCCCUCUCUCUCACGCGCGCUCUCUCGCCACCUCUCCCUCCCAGCCAGUGAGGUCCUGUUCUCCGUGGGCCAUAGACAAAACAUUCCUAUAAUCCGAUUUCAAAGGAAAGAGUGUCCACCUUAUUUAAACCAUAAAACAAUUAAGCCCAGACGUCUAGCCAGCUCCGCGCUGCUGUUUUGUUCUGCCCCAUUCAGAAUCCAGCGCAGGGAGACAAACAGCGCCAUAAAAGUGGCAUUUCGGGACCGCGGAAAUGUACCUAUCCUCUGCCUUCCCAAGUGGAACAACCUUUAGGGUUUUGUGAUUCUGACAAAGGAGCAGAGGAGAGGUGGGAGGGGAAGAUUAGGGCGGGGUGGGGGGCGUUUGCCGGCCCCUCUCCCCCCGCCUCUUCCCCGGGCUUUCGCUGCUUUCCCCAGAUGUGUGUUGUGCUGUCGUGGCUUGGAGUCACAAAUGACAAUAAAUAAAAAUCGAAUCCAAUCCUGACCUGCAGGCUGGAGGCUGAGCUGGUACUGAACAGUGGGCUGGGCCGGGUGGGCCUGCUCUGGAUCCCACGCUCCGGCCAGGGCCCUCCUUUCAGAUCGGAGUAAGGCCGGCUUGGGCGGGCUGCAGGAAGCAGGCCGCGCUGACGGACCGACGAGGGGAGGCGACAGGGCCUCUGAGCAGGGGCGGGGUGGAGGCCCGGAAACGCCGCUGAGCCCGGCAGGGAGAACAGCCUGAGUACCGGCCGUCAGCACGGAGGGAGAGGGUGCCUUGUCCUCCGCCUGGUGCGGAACUGAGGCCUGGGUCCCAGAGCAGCAAAAUGGCCAAGGGGCGGAGUGAAGAAGCGAGAAAAGAGAGAAAACUACCGGCAAAGCACCUCUCAAAAGGACGGAGCGCAAACAAUCGCUUGUGGAUUGGGGCCGUUUCCUAAGCGGGAAAGAGGAAAGGGUGCUUCGGCAGCUGGGAAAACCAAACCAUUGCUUGCGACUUGUGAUUGUCCCCCUCAAAGUAUCAUCGACACAAAAUAGUCGCCCCUUCCCACCUUCCUCCUGCCCCCGAAACUGGAGUCUGUAAUAGAAGGAGGGGUAGGAGAUUCAAAUGAUGGGGAAGGGGCUGGUCCUGACAAGUGCCUCACCAAUCCCGUAAGGUGAUGCGAUGAGGGGAGCUGCACGGGUACUGGGGUCCCCAAUUCUUUUCUUCUACAGUGGUAUUCCCCAAGUAUUCAGAGCAACACCCUGCACCCUCGCCAGAAUGGGCAGCCUGAGAUAUUAAAGGGCUAUAUUUCAAGCAGUCUGAGUUUAAUAGUUUCCAGAUUGGGGGAUUUCCGAGAAAGGGGGCGCCGGGCUGAGGCAUACCCGGCAGCUCGAGUCUGCUUCUGAUUAGCAGAUGAAAACUGCCCGUUCUGGGGAAGGUGCUCUGGGGUGCUAGGCAGCUGCCCAGCCCCAUCGGGGCUGAUCCACAGCACACCCCACAUCCUUGCUCCUGAGGUCCCACCACCAUCAGAGAGCACCCCACUCCUGGCUAGUUCCUGACCAGCUUCCUUGGGUCCCAACUACACUACUCCCCCCCAAAUGCUGCAGCCGCUCAGCAUAACCCCAGUCACCCCCAGAUCAACAUUCAAAGUAAACACCAGAGAGAGAGAAAGAUGGAAUAGAAAAGAGAGAACUAGGCGAUGGGGAAGGGAGGAGGAUCUGAGAAUCCACUGAGAGGUAGAAAUGAAAUCUAAUUCUGAUCAUAUUGGUUUUGCCAUCUUCCUCCUCCCUCCCUCCCCCUCUCCCUUCCUUCCUGCCUCCUUUCUUCCCUCCCCACUUUCUCUCUCCCUGUCCCUCUCUCUGCAUCUUGCUUCUUUUACUCUCGCUGCAGUCCCCAGGGCCUGACCCGCUCCCUGAGGCCUGCUGGGCCUUCCUCCUCACUGUUCACCCCCCACCCUCCCUAGCA
This 2337-nucleotide long non-coding RNA is filed under the name Sus scrofa (pig). RNAcentral describes it as "lncRNA (ENSSSCG00060019327.1)". The record is from RNAcentral. Lineage: Eukaryota; Metazoa; Chordata; Mammalia; Artiodactyla; Suidae.